UCCUACGGGAGGCAGCAGUGGGGAAUAUUGGACAAUGGGGGGAACCCCGAUCCAGCCAUGCCGCGUGUGUGAAGAAGGCCUUUUGGUUGUAAAGCACUUUAAGCGAGGAGGAGGCUACUCUAGUUAAUACCUAGGGAUAGUGGACGUUACUCGCAGAAUAAGCACCGGCUAACUCUGUGCCAGCAGCCGCGGUAAU
Molecule: ribosomal RNA, 196 nt
Filed under: uncultured bacterium
Lineage: Bacteria
Description: partial 16S ribosomal RNA
Rfam family: Bacterial small subunit ribosomal RNA
Source: RNAcentral